GGGAAGCUCCCCUAUUCAGUCAGAGCGUACCGACUCUUCUGUCUGGUCAAACUCAUCAUUGGCACAUCCAUUUGCAGCAAACGAACAAGGGCAAGGCUAUCCAUAUUCCCAUCGACAGGGCUUGUUCCCCGGAUCACAUCAUGUGGGAUCUGCUCCAUCAGGAAUUCCUCUGGAUAGGCGUUUGGGUUUUUUUUCCGAGUCUCCUGAAACCUCAUAUAUGAACCAAGUUGCAUAUGGUAGUUCAGGUUCUAGUCAUAGUCAUGGUAUGAGUAUAGGUCGCCUUGGGUCAAUGAACAUGGCUGGUUCUCCUAUCUCUAGAAUGAUUCCACUGCCUAGGAACGGGCCUAUAUUUUUUGGAAAUGGCUCAUAUGGAGGAACAGGAACGACUAACAAUGAAGGGAUAAUCGAACAAGUUCGGAGUCGAAGAGUUGAAAGUGGAAGUGAGAUAGACAACAAAAAACAAUAUCUGCUUGAUUUGGAGAAGAUCACGAGUGGAGAAGAUGCUAGGACUACUUUAAUGAUUAAAAACAUCCCAAACAAGUAUACCUCAAGGAUGCUACUCACAGCAAUUGAUGAGACUCAUAAGAAUACAUAUGAUUUCCUCUACUUGCCUAUUGACUUCAAGAACAAAUGUAACGUUGGUUACGCCUUCAUCAACAUGGUGUCUCCUUCACAUAUCAUCUCCUUUUAUGAGGUAUUCAAUGGGAAGAAGUGGGAAAAGUUCAACAGUGAAAAGGUUGCCUCCUUGGCUUAUGCGCGUAUCCAAGGAAAGGUAGCCUUGGUUGCUCAUUUCCAGAACUCAAGCCUAAUGAACGAAGACAAGCGGUGCCGGCCAAUUCUUUUCCGGUCAGAGGGUCAAGAAACAGCUGACCAGGAACUGUUGCCAACCAACAAUCUGAACAUUUGUGUUCGUCUGCCUGAUGGAUCAUAUUCUGGAGAUUCUUUGGAUAGUCCAAAUAGUGAUGUGGAUGCGAAGCUCUACAUGCACUGAGAAUAUCGGCUGACUCGUAACUAUGAUACAUGGUGGCAAUGAGUUCUAACUGUGAAUAGGAAUAGUAGUACAUAAUAACGUAUUGAGCCGGACAUCCCAUAUAAUCUUUGUGCGCGCUAGGCAGUGUCUUGCUUUUUGAUCAAACGACACUCCACAACAUGCGGAUGGCAAUAUGUUACCGAGGCAGAGAGCAUUUUGUUUGUACCUUGAGUGAUGAUAAUUGAUGUUUUAUCCAAUGGGAGUUUGAUAAAGCAUUCAGGCAACAUGUGAAGUCUCUCUGCUGUUGAUAAUGCUUUGCUGCUAUAAUUGUAUAGAACCUCUUUUUUUACUUGUUUGGUUGUCUUGUAUACUUGUGGUGGGUUUGUUUUUCCACAUAGUAUACAUGUUUUAGAGUGUAAAGGGACUGUCUCCAAGUGUAUAAUAUGGAAUACAGACCCUGCACUUUU
RNAcentral lists this unclassified non-coding RNA (1437 nucleotides) under Hevea brasiliensis (rubber tree). The record is from RNAcentral. Lineage: Eukaryota; Viridiplantae; Streptophyta; Magnoliopsida; Malpighiales; Euphorbiaceae.